AUCUUUCUAGUACAAGUUAGUAUGCGUGACUUCCAAUCACCCGGCCUUGGUUAGAACCCAAGGAAAGAUA
This 70-nucleotide transfer RNA is filed under the name Zoarces gillii. RNAcentral's name for it is "tRNA-Gly". It matches the Rfam family "tRNA". Rfam says of the family: Transfer RNA (tRNA) molecules are approximately 80 nucleotides in length. Their secondary structure includes four short double-helical elements and three loops (D, anti-codon, and T loops). RNAcentral also lists the same sequence under 1 other name. The record is from RNAcentral. Lineage: Eukaryota; Metazoa; Chordata; Actinopteri; Perciformes; Zoarcidae.